AAGAGGGGAAUUCGGAUCAGACCCAGAACCGUCCUCACGAAUUGGCCGCGUGUAAGGGAUUUUCCAGUUAUCCUAUGAUAACACAUCUACAAGCUCGGUUUUAUGAAGGAAAAACGGAAGGAAGAGAGAAGAGACUAGUGGCCAGUGUAUGGCAAUCAGGGAGAUAAAAGGUUUGUUUCUGCCAGCUUUACCACACAGCAAAGAAUCACCACUGCAGCGAGGUUUGACAGAGGACACCUGAGAUGACCCUCAGACUCCCCUGUAAAUCUCAGCAUGACAGAAGUGUGGUUCUAGUGCUGUUUUCCUCAGUAUGUUGCCAGAGAAAAUAGAUCUAAGAAAUCAGUAAUUUCUAAAUAGCUCCUGCACUUCUGGAUAACACAGGUAACUAACAGCUACAAGACAUAUUUCUUCUUGUCAAAUAGUGAUUAGUGAGAACAUAAAAUCACUGUGUCCAGAAUGGGAUCCUCAGACUUAAUCACAGAAUCAUCACAGAAUGGUUUGGGUUGGAAGGGACCU
Chiroxiphia lanceolata (lance-tailed manakin) is the source of this 516-nucleotide long non-coding RNA. RefSeq lists it as uncharacterized. The record is from RefSeq and is a predicted model, not a curated record. Lineage: Eukaryota; Metazoa; Chordata; Aves; Passeriformes; Pipridae. The transcript has 3 exons.